Molecule: ribosomal RNA, 770 nt
Filed under: uncultured Cryptomonadaceae
Lineage: Eukaryota; Cryptophyceae; Cryptomonadales; Cryptomonadaceae
Description: SSU rRNA
Rfam family: Eukaryotic small subunit ribosomal RNA
Source: RNAcentral
UACCCAAUCCCGAUUCGGGGAGGUAGUGACAAUAAAUAAAAUACAGGGCCAACGGUCUUGUUAUUGGAAUGAGAACAAUUUAAAUAACUUAACGAGGAUCAAUUAGAGGGCAAGUCUGGUGCCAGCAGCCGCGGUAAUUCCAACUCUAAUAGCGUAUAUUAAAGUUGUUGCAGUUAAAAAGCUCGUAGUCGGAUGUCGGGCUCGGGCAGGCUGUCGGCUUCGGUCGGACGGCAGGCUCGGGUCUUUCUGCCUGAGGAUCCCGUUGCACUUAAUUGUGGGGCGUGGGGACGCAGGCCGUUUACUUUGGAAAAAUUAGAGUGUUCAAAGCAGGCCUACGCUUGAAUACAUUAGCAUGGAAUAAUGGAAUAGGACUUUGGUGCUAUUUUGUUGGUUUAUGGGACCGAAGUAAUGAUUAACAGGGACAGUUGGGGCCGUUUAUAUUUCGUUGUCAGAGGUGAAAUUCUUGGAUUUACGAAAGAUAAACUUCUGCGAAAGCAUUCGGCAAGGAUGUUUUCAUUGAUCAAGAACGAAAGUUAGGGGAUCGAAGACGAUCAGAUACCGUCGUAGUCUUAACCAUAAACUAUGCCGACUAGGGAUCAGUGGAUGUCAAUUUGCGACUCCAUUGGCACCUUGUGAGAAAUCAAAGUUUUUGGGUUCCGGGGGGAGUAUGGUCGCAAGGCUGAAACUUAAAGGAAUUGACGGAAGGGCACCACCAGGAGUGGAGCCUGCGGCUUAAUUUGACUCAACACGGGGAAACUUACCAGGUCCAG